GGGGAGGUUCCCGAGCGGUCAAAGGGGGCAGACUGUAAAUCUGUUGGCUCAGCCUUCGAAGGUUCGAAUCCUUCUCUCCCCA
This 82-nucleotide transfer RNA is filed under the name Pleomorphochaeta sp. RNAcentral describes it as "tRNA-Tyr". It matches the Rfam family "tRNA". From Rfam's summary of the family: Transfer RNA (tRNA) molecules are approximately 80 nucleotides in length. Their secondary structure includes four short double-helical elements and three loops (D, anti-codon, and T loops). Further hydrogen bonds mediate the characteristic L-shaped molecular structure. tRNAs have two regions of fundamental functional importance: the anti-codon, which is responsible for specific mRNA codon recognition, and the 3' end, to which the tRNAs corresponding amino acid is attached (by aminoacyl-tRNA synthetases). tRNAs cope with the degeneracy of the genetic code in two manners: having more than one tRNA (with a specific anti-codon) for a particular amino acid; and 'wobble' base-pairing, i.e. permitting non-standard base-pairing at the 3rd anti-codon position. RNAcentral also lists the same sequence under 6 other names. Lineage: Bacteria; Pseudomonadati; Spirochaetota; Spirochaetia; Spirochaetales; Sphaerochaetaceae. The record is from RNAcentral.